UACGUAGGGCGCGAGCGUUGUCCGGAAUUAUUGGGCGUAAAGAGCUCGUAGGUGGCUUGUCGCGUCUGCCGUGAAAGGCCUGGGCUUAACCCGGGUUCUGCGGUGGAUACGGGCUGGCUAGAGGUAGGUAGGGGAGAACGGAAUUCCUGGUGUAGCGGUGAAAUGCGCAGAUAUCAGGAGGAACACCGGUGGCGAAGGCGGUUCUCUGGGCCUUACCUGACGCUGAGGAGCGAAAGCGUGGGGAGCGAACAGG
This 253-nucleotide ribosomal RNA is filed under the name uncultured bacterium. Its description in RNAcentral is "partial 16S ribosomal RNA". It matches the Rfam family "Bacterial small subunit ribosomal RNA", at positions 524 to 776 of the family's 1533-position model. The record is from RNAcentral.